GAUCAUGGCUCAGGAUGAACGCUAGCUACAGGCUUAACACAUGCAAGUCGAGGGGUAGCACGGAAGAAGCUUGCUUCUUGGGUGACGACCGGCGCACGGGUGAGUAACGCGUAUCCGACCUACCCAUAACUCGGGCACAGCCGCUCGAAAGAGUGAUUGAUUCCCGAUAUGUCAUUAGAGUAGAUUUAAUGAUGAAAGAUUCAUCGGUUAUGGAUGGGGAUGCGUAAGAUUAGGUAGUAGGCGGGGUAACGGCCCACCUAGCCGACGAUCUUAGGGGUUCUGAGAGGAAGGUCCCCCACACUGGUACUGAGACACGGACCAGACUCCUACGGGAGGCAGCAGUGAGGAAUAUUGGUCAAUGGUCGGAAGACUGAACCAGCCAAGUAGCGUGAAGGAUGAAGGUUCUAUGGAUUGUAAACUUCUUUUAUACGGGAAUAAAACCUCCCACGUGUGGGAGCUUGUAUGUACCGUAUGAAUAAGCAUCGGCUAACUCCGUG
This 497-nucleotide ribosomal RNA is filed under the name uncultured bacterium. RNAcentral describes it as "bacterial SSU rRNA". It matches the Rfam family "Bacterial small subunit ribosomal RNA", at positions 15 to 507 of the family's 1533-position model. The record is from RNAcentral.